RNAcentral lists this ribosomal RNA (521 nucleotides) under uncultured bacterium. RNAcentral describes it as "bacterial SSU rRNA". It matches the Rfam family "Bacterial small subunit ribosomal RNA", at positions 8 to 502 of the family's 1533-position model. The record is from RNAcentral.
AGAGUUUGAUCCUGGCUCAGAAUGAACGCUGGCGGCGUGCUUAACACAUGCAAGUCGCACGAGAACUCUUCUGCUUGCAGAAGAUAGUAAAGUGGCGCACGGGUGAGUAACGCGUGGGCAAUCUACCUCCGAAUCGGGGAUAACCCGCCGAAAGGCGAGCUAAUACCGGAUAAUAUCUUUAAAACAUCGGUUUUUUGGAUCAAAGGUGGCCUCUACAUGUAAGCUACUGUUUGGAGAUGAGCCCGCGUACCAUUAGCUUGUUGGUAGGGUAAUGGCCUACCAAGGCUUCGAUGGUUAGCUGGUCUGAGAGGAUGAUCAGCCACACUGGAACUGACACACGGUCCAGACUCCUACGGGAGGCAGCAGUGAGGAAUUUUGCGCAAUGGGGGAAACCCUGACGCAGCAACGCCGCGUGAGUGAUGAAGGCCUUUGGGUCGUAAAGCUCUGUCGAGUGGGAAGAACUUGUUGGAUGCUAAUACCAUCCUUCACUGACGGUACCAUCUGAAGAAGCACCGCUAACU